Molecule: long non-coding RNA, 447 nt
Filed under: Brassica napus (rape)
Lineage: Eukaryota; Viridiplantae; Streptophyta; Magnoliopsida; Brassicales; Brassicaceae
Description: long non-coding RNA (BNAP_LNC007470)
Source: RNAcentral
AAUUUUACCACAACUAUUCUAAUAAGUAUAGCUAACAUUGUGGUUAAUCUACAAAAACAAAAAAUUGCUACGCUUUAGUCUAAGCCACAAAAUAUUUUUUCUGUCACGAAAUUUUUCAUUGACUAUUUUAAAAUAGCCACGAUUUUGCUACAAAUUUUUUUUCGUAACUAUACGAAACCCUAUAUACUCUAACAUGCUUUUAUACAAUAAGCUUUAAAUAUUAACGUUAAAACGCUAAUCUUUUCAUACUAUAACUUCGAAUAUUAAGCUUCAACUUAAAAUUUAAUCAUUUUAAUUCUAAAUCUCUAACACCAUACUCCAAAACCUAAACUCUAUACAUACACUUUUUACCCCACAUCAUAAAUCUAAACACUAAAUCUAGUAUUUUCAAAGUUAAACACUAAAUUUUAAACAUACACUUUGCAAAUUUUAUCUUUUCAAAAUUUU